CGCAAGGAUGAGGAAAGUCCGGACUCCGCAGGGCAGAGAGCCCUUCCGUAAAGGUUGGGAGGCGCAGGGCGAUCCUGCGCGAUGGAAAGUGCCACAGAGAACAGACCGCCCGCAAGGGCAAGGGUGAAAGGGUGGUGCAAGAGACCACCGGUGCGUCUGAAACGACGUACGCAGGGCAAACCCCUCUCGGAGCAAGAUCAAAUAGGGGAUUGAAUGGGCGGCCCGCCCAGUUCGCCGUCCUUCGGGAUGGCGGUGAAAUUCCGGGUUGAUCGCUUAGAUGAAUGAUUGGAGCGCCGCAAGGCGUGAACAGAAUCCGGCUUAUUCGCCG
This 328-nucleotide RNase P RNA is filed under the name human gut metagenome. Its description in RNAcentral is "Bacterial RNase P class A". It matches the Rfam family "Bacterial RNase P class A", at positions 34 to 357 of the family's 367-position model. Rfam says of the family: Ribonuclease P (RNase P) is a ubiquitous endoribonuclease, found in archaea, bacteria and eukarya as well as chloroplasts and mitochondria. Its best characterised activity is the generation of mature 5'-ends of tRNAs by cleaving the 5'-leader elements of precursor-tRNAs. The record is from RNAcentral.